GCUGUCACCCCCUCUCUCUAAGAAACCCUAGUCGCCUCCCCUUUACUUGCCAUAUUUGGAAGCCAACAAACCCUAGUGCCUAGAGUUUCUUAGCUGCCUCUAAUUUCUAGCACCUCCAAGCCUUGCUACCUCCUUUUGGAGGUAUUUGCUACUAGUUUUCAGAUCUCCAUACCCCAAGAUAGUUAGUUUUCCAAUAAUUGGUAUUAGGGUUUAGUUGGGCAUGGAAGAGGAAAGGAGGAGUUCGAUCUUGAAGAACUAGAU
RNAcentral lists this long non-coding RNA (261 nucleotides) under Elaeis guineensis (African oil palm). Its description in RNAcentral is "long non-coding RNA (EGUI_LNC024601)". The record is from RNAcentral. Lineage: Eukaryota; Viridiplantae; Streptophyta; Magnoliopsida; Arecales; Arecaceae.